RNAcentral lists this ribosomal RNA (778 nucleotides) under uncultured Neocallimastigales. RNAcentral describes it as "partial large subunit ribosomal RNA". It matches the Rfam family "Eukaryotic large subunit ribosomal RNA", at positions 26 to 634 of the family's 3401-position model. Lineage: Eukaryota; Fungi; Neocallimastigomycota; Neocallimastigomycetes; Neocallimastigales. The record is from RNAcentral.
CGUCUAUAUACGUAUAGCAUAUCAAUAAGCGGAGGAAAAGAAACUAACUAGGAUUCCCUCAGUAACGGCGAGUGAAGCGGGAAGAGCUCAAAUUUGAAAUCUUCAAGGUUCUACCUUGACGAAUUGUAGUUUAAAGAAGUGUUUUCUGUUGGAGUUUUGGUAAAAGUUCUUUGGAAUAGGACAUCAUAGAGGGUGAGAAUCCCGUAUUUGACCAUUAUUUCCAACUUUGUGAUACACUUUCAAAGAGUCGGAUUGUUUGGGAAUGCAGUCCAAAAUGGGUGGUAAAUUUCAUCUAAAGCUAAAUACUGGCGAGAGACCGAUAGCGAACAAGUACCGUGAGGGAAAGAUGAAAAGAACUUUGAAAAGAGAGUUAAACAGUACGUGAAAUUGUCAAAAGGGAAGCGUUUGACACCAGUGUUGUUUUCUCGAAAAUCAAUUAAAAAUGGCAUGAUUUUGUGUUGUAUUGACCUUUAUCAAGCUUUCUUCACUUUUUUCAUUGUCUUUUUUAAUGCACUUUUCGUUUAACAAGUCAACAUCAAUUUCUUUUGUUGUAAAAGAGUCAUUGGAAGGUGGCUUUCCUUUCGGUAGAAAGUGUUUAUAGCCUUUGACUUCUGCAGUCGGAGAGAUUGAGGUCUGCAGCGUAGAUCCUUCGGGGUUAGAUACAUUUGUGCUAAGUUAUAGCCUUUCAUAGACAACUUGUUGACUAUGAUCAGUCAUGUAGCUUACUCGCUUAUGUUAUUUUACCUACGCUUAGGAUGUUGACGAUCAGCUGAGCGCG